UUAAAGAUUGAGAUAAGGAAGAGUAUAUUUAGUAAGCUUUUCAGAGAACUAGAUAUUUGGUGGGAAUCUAGUAAGUAAACUUUAUAGAAGCAGCCUUUGAAUUUCACAUUGAAAAAUAAGAAUUGAUAUUCUUAAUUAGAUGAUGACGUGUUCCUUACGUUAUAGAGGUUGAAGUGUUGGUUAAUACUUCUAUAGAGUGAGCAUUUUUGCUUAUUAGGGUGGUACCGCGUAGUUAAUCCUUCGUCCCUUGU
RNAcentral lists this non-coding RNA (251 nucleotides) under Clostridium botulinum. Its description in RNAcentral is "T-box sequence". It matches the Rfam family "T-box leader". From Rfam's summary of the family: Uncharged tRNA acts as the effector for transcription antitermination of genes in the T-box leader family. Lineage: Bacteria; Bacillati; Bacillota; Clostridia; Eubacteriales; Clostridiaceae. The record is from RNAcentral.